AUGGGGAGCGGCCGUGUCUGCUCCGUUGUCGCGUCCGUCGUGUUGCUCUGGUUGGGCGUGGCCGCUGCGCAGGGUGACUCUCCUUGGAAGACGCUUAGCGGCAAUGCUCCGGCGAUCAUAGCCAAGGGUGGAUUUUCAGGCCUAUUCCCUGACUCAAGUGAAUUCGCUUACCAGUUCGCGAUGAUUGCGAGCUCGCCCGAUACAAUCCUGUAUUGUGAUGUCCGGCUGACCAAGGAUGGACUUGGCGUCUGCCUGCCGGACAUUAAGAUGGACAACUGCACCAACAUUCCAGAUUUCUAUCCUAAGGGUAAGAAGAGCUACCUUGUCAAUGGCGUAUCGACAACGGGGUGGUUCUCCGUGGACUACAACGGCACCGAGCUCUCGCAAGUGUCUUUGAAGCAGUCAAUCUUCUCUCGCACGCCCAGGUUUGAUCCAAGCUUCUUCCCAUUGCUCGCCGUCGAAGACGUGGCAUCCAAGUUUAAGCCUCCUGGAAUGUGGCUCAAUAUCCAGCAUGACGGUUUCUACAGCCAGUUCAACAUGAGCAUGAGGAAGUACAUCCUUUCUGUGUCGAGACGUGUUAUUGUUGACUACAUCUCAUCACCGGAAGCAAGCUUCCUCACCAGCAUCAGUGGAAGGGUUAGCAACAACACAAAGCUCGUGUUCCGCUUUCUUGACGAGGCCACUCUUGAGCCAUCUACCAAAGAGACAUAUGGUUCCAUGUUGAAAAACCUUACAUUUAUCAAGACAUUUGCAUCUGGGAUACUUGUCCCGAAGAAGUACAUCUGGCCUGUUUCACCAGAUAAUUAUCUGCAACCAUACACUUCGAUCGUCGAUGAUGCUCAUAAAGCAGGGCUGGAAAUUUAUGCUGCUGAUUUUGCCAACGACUUUGCGCUCAGUUACAACCAUAGCUACGAUCCAUUAGCUGAAUCUCUCUCGUUCAUUGAUAAUGGUGCAUUUUCUGUUGAUGGCAUACUGACUGAUUUCCCCGUUACGCCUUCAGAAGCUAUUGGCUGUUUUGCGAAUUUGAACAAAAGCAACACAGAUCAUGGGAAACCUCUAAUUAUUUCUCACAAUGGAGCCAGUGGAGAUUACCCAGGCUGCACAGAUCUAGCUUAUCAGAAAGCAGUCGACGAUGGUGCAGAUGUCAUUGAUUGCCCUGUGCAAGUGACCAAAGACGGCAUACCAGUAUGCAUGGGAUCCAUUAACUUAAUGGAUAGUACUACUGUUGCAAAAUCACCAUUUGCGUCCCAGGCAGCAGUAAUGAAAGAUAUUGAGAGUGUCCUAGGAGUCUUUACUUUCAACCUCACUUGGGAUGACAUCGUGAAGAAUCUAAAACCCAAGAUAUCUACCCCACUUAGCACCUUCAGUUUGGACAGAAAUCCAAGAUACAGGAAUGCAGGCAAUUUCAUGAGAUUAUCAGACUUUCUGGACUUCUCAAAAGAUAAGGAUUUAUCAGGAAUCAUGAUUAGCAUAGAGCAUGCUGCUUUUCUAGCAGAGGAACUCGGAUUUGACAUGGUAGAUGCAGUUAUCAAAGCGCUUGACGACUCCGGCUACAACAAACAAACUGCUCAGAAAGUUAUGAUUCAGUCAACCAACAGCUCGGUUCUGGUGAAGUUGAAGCAGCAAACAAAGUAUGACCUGGUGUACAUGAUCAAUGAAGAUGUCAGCGAUGCCGCGCCUUCCUCCCUCGCGGGCAUUAAAAAGUUUGCCGAUGCCGUUUCUGUGGAGACCAGCUCUGUUUUCCCUGAAAACCGCCAUUUCACGUCGCACCAGACAGACCUUGUCGAGUCCCUGCAGACCGCCGGGCUCUCAGUCUAUGCCUACACUCUCAUGAACGAGUUUGUUGCUCAGCCAUACGACUUCUUCUCGGAUGCGACCGCGGAGAUCAUUGCCUAUGUUCAGGGUGCCGGAGUGGAUGGGCUAAUCACCGACUUCCCGGCGACGGCCCGGAGAUACAAAUCGAACACUUGCAUGAACAUGGGGAACAAAACUCCGAGCUUCAUGGCCCCUCCUAGGCCUGGUGAUCUGCUGCAGCUCAUCAGUAAGCCGGCGCAACCACCGGCCCUAGCCCCGAUGCCCCUGCUAAUGGAUUCUGACGUGUCGGAGCCGCCCCUACCGCCCGCAAGAUUGAACAAUGGUACUACAGCUCCAGCACCUUCGUCUGCACCCAGGAUGCAGACUCGGAUCCCAUUCCUCGUCACCUUAGCGAUGCUUUGCGUCUGGGCCACGGUCUGA
This 2235-nucleotide ribosomal RNA is filed under the name Triticum aestivum (bread wheat). RNAcentral describes it as "partial small subunit ribosomal RNA". The record is from RNAcentral. Lineage: Eukaryota; Viridiplantae; Streptophyta; Magnoliopsida; Poales; Poaceae.